AGUGAACGCUGGCGGUAGGUCUAACACAUGCAAGUCGAACGGCAGCACAGUAAGAGCUUGCUCUUACGGGUGGCGAGUGGCGGACGGGUGAGGAAUACAUCGGAAUCUACUUUUUCGUGGGGGAUAACGUAGGGAAACUUACGCUAAUACCGCAUACGACCUACGGGUGAAAGCAGGGGAUCUUCGGACCUUGCGCGAUUGAAUGAGCCGAUGUCGGAUUAGCUAGUUGGCGGGGCAAAGGCCCACCAAGGCGACGAUCCGUAGCUGGUCUGAGAGGAUGAUCAGCCACACUGGAACUGAGACACGGUCCAGACUCCUACGGGAGGCAGCAGUGGGGAAUAUUGGACAAUGGGCGCAAGCCUGAUCCAGCCAUACCGCGUGGGUGAAGAAGGCCUUCGGGUUGUAAAGCCCUUUUGUUGGGAAAGAAAAGCAGCAGGUUAAUACCCCGCUGUUCUGACGGUACCCAAAGAAUAAGCACCGGCUAACUUCGUG
RNAcentral lists this ribosomal RNA (492 nucleotides) under uncultured bacterium. Its description in RNAcentral is "partial 16S ribosomal RNA". It matches the Rfam family "Bacterial small subunit ribosomal RNA", at positions 29 to 507 of the family's 1533-position model. The record is from RNAcentral.